Molecule: ribosomal RNA, 495 nt
Filed under: uncultured bacterium
Lineage: Bacteria
Description: partial 16S ribosomal RNA
Rfam family: Bacterial small subunit ribosomal RNA
Source: RNAcentral
GACGAACGCUGGCGGCGUGCCUAAUACAUGCAAGUAGAACGCUGAAGGAGGAGCUUGCUUCUCUGGAUGAGUUGCGAACGGGUGAGUAACGCGUAGGUAACCUGCCUGGUAGCGGGGGAUAACUAUUGGAAACGAUAGCUAAUACCGCAUAAGAGUAGAUGUUGCAUGACAUUUGCUUAAAAGUUGCAAUUGCAUCACUACCAGAUGGACCUGCGUUGUAUUAGCUAGUUGGUGAGGUAACGGCUCACCAAGGCGACGCUACAUAGCCGACCUGAGAGGGGGAUCGGCCACACUCGGACUGAGACACGGCCCAGACCCCUACGGGAGGCAGCAGUAGGGCAUCUUCGGCAAUGGACGGAAGUCUGACCGAGCAACGCCGCGUGAGUGAAGAAGGGUUUCGGAUCGUAAAGAUCUGUUGUACGAGAAGAACGGGUGUGAGAGUGGAAAGUUCACCCUGUGACGGUAUCUUACCAGAAAGGGACGGCUAACUACGUG